Saccostrea cuccullata (small rock oyster) is the source of this 1020-nucleotide long non-coding RNA. RefSeq lists it as uncharacterized. The transcript has 3 exons. Lineage: Eukaryota; Metazoa; Mollusca; Bivalvia; Ostreida; Ostreidae. The record is from RefSeq and is a predicted model, not a curated record.
UGAUUUCUUUCGUUUGAGGAACGAAUUAGACAGAAAUCAAUUUCUACUCGGUGUGAUAAUAAAUUACUUUUUCGGAAUUACAAGGUUUUCAUUCGAAUACCUGGUGUAUAUCACGUGGUUCUUUAGAACCGGUCUCGUUAGCAAGGCUAUAUAGAGGUGAAUAGUGGUUUAAAUACCAGUUUAGGACGACACGUAGAGCACGAUAAAGUUUAAAUCUCAGAUACAGAACGAAGUGGCGUAGGGCGUGGUUCAUCGACAUGUUUAGCCAUUGUAGAUGAUAUGAAAUCACAGAAAAUAGAGUUGGAGAGAGAUUUGACAGUGUGGAAAGCGAGGUCAUCAAAGAAAAGCCAUCAUAGAUCUUGUUUUUAUAAGAUAAUUACAUGUUGGGGUUGGUAUCACGAUGAGUAUAAUGAAGAAGGUGAUUUUAAGAUCUCCAGAGAAGUACGGUAGAUUUUUUCUUUGCGUUUUAUGCCAAUUAAAAGUUAAAUUUCAUGCGGACUCCAUCACAAUGGAAAAGAGAAGCAUUUCAUAUUCUGAUUUGUAUUAUUGGUUAUAUUCUUCUUACGUUUAAUUCAAGCACCAUGAGGUAUUAAUCGGUGUACCAAUAAUGACAGAGUUUCAAAGAGGCACAUAUCCAAGGAAUUGAGAUGGGAUUCAAGAUGUUUCACAGGAAUGUGUAUUUUGUGCUAUUUUGAUAUUGGAUGAUGAAUAUACUUCUAUGUAUUAUGUCGAUUUGAUUUGAUAUAUUUGAAGUCUUCUUCCCUGGGACUUCACGAUAAAUCGUAUGGUAUGCGUUGAGUUUGACUUGAAACUAUACUCAAAAUUCAAGUGCAGCAAGCAUUUAUCGAUGUAUGGAUAGGAUGUGUGCAUAACAUCAAGACUUUUACAAUCAGACUCACAUGGUGAAUUGCGUUAUGGAUUUUCAAAAGACGGCGGUGUAUUUUUAUUUUUUAGGAUGGAUAUACAUGUAUUGAUAUUUUCCCGCGUUUCGCUAGUAUAGUGAGAAAAUGUUGUAUUAAU